This 210-nucleotide long non-coding RNA is filed under the name Homo sapiens (human). RNAcentral's name for it is "HSALNT0183937". The record is from RNAcentral. Lineage: Eukaryota; Metazoa; Chordata; Mammalia; Primates; Hominidae.
CCUUGAAGUAGAAAGUCUCCUAGAACAUAUCGUCAGGCCAGAUCCAGAGAAGACAGUGGAAAACACAGUGAAUUCAUAGUAGAAGUUGCCCACUAUGUCAGGUUAACUAUAUAUUCGAUUAGAGCCCUGCAAUGUUUCCUCGUUGAGGCACUAGUCUCAGGUAGGAAAUCUCACCCAAGUGGAGAAAAGUGGAGCCCCAGAAAGGGGUGG